RNAcentral lists this ribosomal RNA (301 nucleotides) under uncultured bacterium. Its description in RNAcentral is "partial 16S ribosomal RNA". It matches the Rfam family "Bacterial small subunit ribosomal RNA", at positions 509 to 807 of the family's 1533-position model. The record is from RNAcentral.
CAGUAGCCGCGGUAACACGAAGGGUGCAAGCGUUAAUCGGAAUUACUGGGCGUAAAGCGUGCGUAGGCGGUGAGUUAAGUCUGCUGUGAAAUCCCCGGGCUCAACCUGGGAAUGGCAGUGGAUACUGGCUCGCUAGAGUGUGUCAGAGGAUGGUGGAAUUCCCGGUGUAGCGGUGAAAUGCGUAGAGAUCGGGAGGAACAUCAGUGGCGAAGGCGGCCAUCUGGGACAACACUGACGCUGAGGCACGAAAGCGUGGGGAGCAAACAGGAUUAGAUACCCCCGUAGUCCCUGUCUCUUAUAC